This 99-nucleotide non-coding RNA is filed under the name Clostridium amylolyticum. Its description in RNAcentral is "Glycine sequence". It matches the Rfam family "Glycine riboswitch aptamer". Rfam says of the family: This family represents the bacterial glycine riboswitch. Glycine riboswitches usually consist of two metabolite-binding aptamers domains with similar structures in tandem. The aptamers cooperatively bind glycine to regulate the expression of downstream genes. Lineage: Bacteria; Bacillati; Bacillota; Clostridia; Eubacteriales; Clostridiaceae. The record is from Rfam by way of RNAcentral.
AUGAAACUCUCGGGAGAGAACCUUAAGUGGUGGCCGAAGGAAUAAGUAAUACCUACCAAGUAUUAUGAAUCUCUCAGGCGAAAGUACCGAGAAUGGACA